GAUGAACGCUGGCGGCGUGCCUAAUACAUGCAAGUCGAGCGAACGGACGAGAAGCUUGCUUCUCUGAUGUUAGCGGCGGACGGGUGAGUAACACGUGGAUAACCUACCUAUAAGACUGGGAUAACUUCGGGAAACCGUAGCUAAUACCGGAUAAUAUUUUGAACCGCAUGGUUCAAAAGUGAAAGACGGUCUUGCUGUCACUUAUAGAUGGAUCCGCGCUGCAUUAGCUAGUUGGUAAGGUAACGGCUUACCAAGGCAACGAUGCAUAGCCGACCUGAGAGGGUGAUCGGCCACACUGGAACUGAGACACGGUCCAGACUCCUACGGGAGGCAGCAGUAGGGAAACUUCCGCAAUGGGCGAAAGCCUGACGGAGCAACGCCGCGUGAGUGAUGAAGGUCUUCGGAUCGUAAAACUCUGUUAUUAGGGAAGAACAUAUGUGUAAGUAACUGUGCACAUCUUGACGGUACCUAAUCAGAAAGCCACGGCUAACUACAUG
RNAcentral lists this ribosomal RNA (497 nucleotides) under uncultured bacterium. RNAcentral describes it as "partial 16S ribosomal RNA". It matches the Rfam family "Bacterial small subunit ribosomal RNA", at positions 28 to 507 of the family's 1533-position model. The record is from RNAcentral.